Long non-coding RNA from Dromaius novaehollandiae (emu), 4354 nucleotides. RefSeq lists it as uncharacterized. The record is from RefSeq and is a predicted model, not a curated record. The transcript is spliced from 2 exons. Lineage: Eukaryota; Metazoa; Chordata; Aves; Casuariiformes; Dromaiidae.
AACGGGGGCGGGGCGGGGGCGCCGCCGCGCGCGGGGCGCCGUAGCGCGCCGGUGCCGGCCCGCGUCGCGCGUCCCCUUGGCUCUUUUCCGCGUUGUUUUCGGCCGCUGCUGCAGGACGUGCGGCCCCUUCGCGGGGAGUCUUUCGCGGCGCCGCUGGCUGCUGCCGCAUCGGAUCGCAUUGCUCCCAGGCCUGGCUGGGCCGGGCCGCCCUAGCGGCCUACACCGGGCCGGGCCGAACGGGAGGAGCUGCCGCGGCCUGCCGCGCCCCCCUUCCAUAAGGACGUGUGAGGCACUGCGGUGGGAAGGGCAGUCUGGCUGUGCUGGGUUCCGAGGGGUAUUGGCUUGACUGUGGUGGGGGGUCUAGAGCAGAGUCUGAGUCAUGUCCAUCAGGCCCUGCAAACUCCAGUGGUGAAAUGGCAAUCGGUGUCAUUCCCACUUGUGAGGAGUGUUGGGAUCUAUUCUGUGGCCUUCUGUGGGGUAGGGGGUGACUCGGGUGAGGAGAACCACCUGUGUCUGUGCUGGUGUGGGAGGGGAGUGGUGGGAAAAUGUGUUUCUGUAGUCCUGUUUUAUGUUUUUCUUGCAGCAACACUGCUUGAAAGCACCGCUUUUGACUGGCUGGUGGUCCUAUUAAAUUGGAUGAAUUGAGGAGUAGCCUUGUCUUAUGGCAACUAGGGAGCUGCAUUUGAAAGUGAGGAGAUAGAUUAUGAAGCCAGCCCCUGGUAUCAGCACAGGGGCUGCUGAAUGAGCAGGGUCAGGUGCAGAUGGCAGUGGACUGUGAUGUAGGAGGGCUGGGAGUACUAAGAAUGGUGUGUGUGCUGGAGGUGUUAGGUGGCAGAGGGAUGGAAAGUCACAUUUAGUAGGUUUUUUGGUAAAGAGUCUCUGACUGCCUCUGACUACCUACUACAGUUGUUUCAUGUACUGUCCACAUACAAUGGCAAGGGGGAAUUUUUCCCUAUCCUGUAACUGAGCAAACUAUAAAGCCUGUGUCUUGGAGACACUUGCUUCCUGUCACUAAUAUUACUGAAAUGCAGGGUUUUCUGGUUCAUUCUGCCUGGAUAGCGUGGCAGGUCCUGACUGUGCGGGCAGUGAUGCCUGAGUUGUGUGCCAGGCCUAAGCUACAGCUGCCUGUCCAGCAAGAGCUGCAGUGUGCUGCUCAGAGAUAAGAAGUAGGAUCUAAGCAGCAGGACUAGUCUAGAUGGGUACCUGUGUUUUGGUUGUUAAGAGCCUGCAGUGUAAGUGCACAGUGAGCAGUAGAGUCAGAGGAUGCGUACAUUAGGCGACUGUUGGCACCAUCUUGCUUCGUCAGUCGGAUGGCAGAAUAUAUGGUGCUCUUCUCUGCACCAGCAAAGUCCGAGUCCUGCUUCAUAGAGAAUGAUCAAAUACCAGAACAAUGGCUUUUUAGUCAGGAUGUGGUGUCACAGAGAGUCAACCGGGUGACUUGGGGAUUGUCCUGGCACAUGCAGUGGAAAGGGAGGAUGGCCUCAUAGGAUGGCUGGUUUGUGAGCAGAUGAAGGUUAGGGCUAGGUGAGCGCAGCUGGGAUAAUGUGCGGUGGCCCAAUAUGGAGAAAAACUUGAGCACUUUUUCUUUCCUAACAGGAAGAACAAGGUGGUUCUUCACUGGAUGGUAAUGCCUAUGGAAAUCAUGUUGUUACAGGUGCCAAAGAUUGGACGAUGCUCGGCAGAGGCGAUUGGCAGUGGAGGGAGAGUCUUAUUGACUGGCCUGGCUGCAGUUACAUCAAACACCUCUGUUCUGACUUGGUGACUCAGGCACAGGGCUCUGGGUGUGUAAUCCAGGCCACUCCUGCUGUCUGUUUGUGGUAGUGGGAAGGCAUCCUAUGUCUCCCACUGUCCUGGCCAGACUCAAUCUCCUGUUGGAGUUUUGCAGAGUCACAGCACUCCAUGUUCCCAUCCCAGUAAGACAAGCACAAGCUAGCCCUUGACUGCAAUUUAUUCUCAGUUAAUGCAGAUAAUGUUAGAUUCCAUUAUGGGUAACAGCAAGGCCUGGCCAGGCAUCGCCAAAACUUGCUCGGAUGCACCACUGGCACUACUGGAUGCCAAUGUAGUGCAUGCUGCACUGGGGUCCCCCCUGCUGAGGGCAUUUGGGGUUAAGCAUCUGAAAGGGGCUAUGCAAGAGGAACAGUAAAAUGCAGGAGGAAUAGUGAAAUACCGUGACUGAACACAGGGUUCCUCCCCAGCCUGGGCCUGUGGGUGCAUUCUCGCUCUUGCAGAUACAGACGCCCUGGAGCUGUAGGGAAACAGGUAAGCAGGCCCACAAGCGGACUUUGGGCACAGCGGCGUGCAGAGAGCUCUGUUCAGCAGGUGAAUGGGGUUGGAGCAUGGCAAGGGCUGUUCCAGGCUGUCUGGAUCCAUCCAGUUCCACUCCCUGUCCCUCUGUCCAGUGCUCCAUUCUUCUCUUUCUUUCCCCGUGGCUCCAUCCGGUGCCCCAUCCCUUUGUUUAGCUACUCAUUCCUGUGCCCAGCUCGCCAUCCCUCUGUACUCUUUCCAUCCCUCUGUCAAUAUCUACAUCCCUCUAACUGGCUCCCUGUCGCUCUAUCCAGCUCUUCAUCGUCCUCUUCCUCUCCCUAUCCCACUACCUGCCCGCUCUCCCUCUGUCCAGCUCCCUGUCCCUCUGCUGCUCUCGUCUGCCUCUCUGUACUUCUCUUUGCCUUCCCAGCCCUCUGUCCACCUCUCCGGCCUUCUCUUUCUAUUUCCGUCCCUCUGCUCAGCUCCUCAUCCAUCUAUUUGCCUCCCUGUCCCUCCUUUCCCCUGUUUUGUCCCAUCUGUCUGACUUCCUCCCUCUUUUUCUCUCCCCACCUUUCUGGCCAGCUUGUCAUCCUUCUCAUUCUCUUCCCAUCGCUCUGACCGGCUCCCUGUCCCUCUCUUCCCGUCCCCGUUCCUCUGUCCAGUUCUCCCCCCUUCUCUUUUGCUCUCUGUCCCUCUCCCCGCCUCCCCUUCCCUCCUUGCCCCUCUCUAUUCUUCUGCCCGCCUCCCCUUCCCUCUUUUUCUCUCUUCUGCUCCCUGGUCCUCUGUGCAGCCUCCAUCUGUGUGGCCUUCUCUCCCUCUCUUUCUAUUCCUUUGUCUAGCACCCUGACCCUGGGGCCAGGUCUCUAUCCUCUUUCUUUCUCCAUCCCUCUGCCAAGCUCUCUGACCCUCUUUUCUUCUGUUCUGUUCCCUGUCCCCGUGUCCAGUUGGAGGUCUGUCAUUGCUGUGUGUUUGGGCUGGUGUGGCGGGUGCCGAGAGGCAGUUGGUGCUCAGCAGAGCUGGUGAUCAGCAGCGCCCAGAGGGUGCCAUCAGUCGGCCUGGUUUGGGUCACGUCAGACACCUCCGCGGGGACUCUGCCUGCGGAGGCACGGGGCUGUGGGCGUGCAGCGGGGGAGCACUAGUGAGCUAGAGAUGGCAUGGGGUAUGUAGUCGACAGCGAAGAGGCUCCCGGGAAGGGUGUCACGGAGGCAGAGAGCAGCAGAGGCUCCGAGUCCUCGGGCGUUAGGACAGGUGCUUGCGGUAGGGCGGUCUGGAGCUGCUGCUGCUGUCUGUCCUACUCAUCAGCACAGUCUGCAGUUACUGCCUCUUGUCUGCCUGCGUGCAGCCAGGGCUGCCGCGUGGUGCAGCUUGACUUGUGAUCGUGAUGCUGGCAUCGAGCCCACUUUUCUGUCAGGUCUGCCUUUAUGCAAACUGGUGUCUUCCCUAUGUCUACAGCUCAACCCAUUUUGUUGAUUAGUGCUUCCCGAGGGGCUAUGUUGGGCUGUCGACAACCCUGCCCCCCUCCCCGCCGUCAUUUCCAGACAAAGGAUGCGUUGAGUUUAGGGUUCAGGGCUUAUGGCUCACUGAGAAACGAAAAGGGCUAAAUCCUUAGAUAAUAAACUGUAAGCCCUGAAGCCUAAGCAGCAGGCUGCAAACCCUUCUUUGGGCUUUGUAACCUUCCCCUGUAUCCAGCGUUCAGCUCUGUGCGCUGACCUGAGCUCUGGAUUUGAUAUGGUGCAGGCCGAUCACACUGAGACUGGCAAUGUGACAGGUGAGCUGAGAGCUGUGGAGGUGUCUUGCAGGGCUCUAGUCUGGGGUAGGGCAGAAGUGCAGACAGGUGAGAUCAGGCAUUUUCCUCUCAUCUCUGAGAUGAAUCCUAUCCCUGAAGGAAAAAGCAGAGGAGUAGGCUGUUGGCUACUCGGACACCUGCCACAUCAAGGGCAGCAGCAGGAGAUGACCCUUCCCCGAUGGACGGAUGGAUGGACGCUGGUGCGGUGGUGACUCUUCAGGCAUCACAGUUAAGGGGAAGCACGCUGACACUGAGCUCCAUGGCAGACUCGCUUCCAGGUGUUUCUGCACAGUAAAACAAUAAACAGUUGCUUUAUUCUUUGCA